Pygoscelis adeliae (Adelie penguin) is the source of this 2523-nucleotide long non-coding RNA. RefSeq lists it as uncharacterized. The record is from RefSeq and is a predicted model, not a curated record. The transcript is spliced from 4 exons. Lineage: Eukaryota; Metazoa; Chordata; Aves; Sphenisciformes; Spheniscidae.
CUUGGCUGGCACUGUGAAACAACCCUGGGCUACCCGGGCCUGCGCUGAUCUAUAAUUCAGAACCACUUGUUUCUCAGUAGCAGAAAUAUCUUGCCCAACUGGGAUACAAUAAUUUCGAAGCAAGUAAAGGAAACUGCAGCUGCUCAGCUGAGUCAGCCAAAGCAUGAGCUUCAUGUUCGUUUUCUGAGUGGAUUGAUCAAAUGGGUCGAUUGCCGUGAGUCUUCAGGUUGCACCCAAGAGCUGCCCAGUACGGGGACAUACAACAGGGAAAGCUCAAAAGAAGUUUGGUCUCUUCAGAGGAGUGGGACACGUGUUCUGCUGACAUCCUGGAAACCAAGAGCAAACCUCAGCUUGGCUGGGAUCCCCAUCCAUUGGCAUGCUGGAUCUUUAAAUGGAGAGGUGCUGAGCCGAAGGAGGAACCAUGGGGAUUUCUUACCAGGUGGAAGAGGUUUAUUGGCUUUUAGAGAGUGUAUUGCUGCCUGGGCUGUGCAGGGUAUGAGAUGUGACAUAGGCUAGGGCGCAGAGGAUGUGUGAAGGAUCACACCUUAAUUUGUGAAGUGUAAAAAUUAUUGCCUGCACGAGAAACCAGAGGGAUUUUGUGUAAUAGGAGGUGUGUUGUGGGCUGUUGAGGGACACCUGGAGGAGGAGGAGUUGAGGAUUCUGCUCUGUACUUCAGCUCAAGCUGUGAAAAAUUGGGAGUGGAAGGGACCCACAAGAGUUAAUGUUUUCCUGAGAUUUCUCUCUUACUGGUAUACUGAAAUAUGCAGGAAGCUUUGUUUUUUGUUUUGUGGUUGUUUUUUUUCUUUUUUUGUCUUUUAUUAGAAUUAAAUAUUUCUUUUCUAACCUCAACCCUGAAGAGCAGUUGGGGGGAGGCAGGGGAGGGCACUGCAGUUUGGCUCUGUACCAUUUGGGCUGUUUGAAUUCAUUAGCUUGGGAGCCCGCACAAAUGCCUCAGGCCGUGUACCUCCUCAUGCACCCAACUUGGGAGAAUCUCUUACCGCUACUGCAUGCAUUAGCCUUCGUUAAUACAAUUAGCAUAAUAGUGAUUAGGAUUCAUUAUUCCCUACAAAAAGAUAAAGCCAGCAAUACAUAUCUCAGAAUCAAAUUCCUCAGCGCCUUGUCUUGGGAUUGCUUUAUUUUGGAGUUGUUUGCUCUUUAUAUCCUUCCAUCUCCUAGAAAAAAGAAAGCCACUUAAUUGUAAAACUAUUUGGGUCAAAGAAAUGCACUGAGAUGAUCUUUCACACAUGCUAAAUAGGUGAAUUGAUCUAUGGGACCCACACAGCUCAGCCAGCCACUCAAACAGUCGAAACUGUGAACUUCAUCUUCUUCAAGCACAAAAGCUACUUAGUUUCCCCAUGUUGAAGACUUUUUAUAAUAGCAAUAAGACAACUCUAGAGAGAACCAUCUAAUAUUAACUCCAGGGAGUAAUCAUCUAAUCACAAUCUGGGGGUGAUUUGAAGCACUCAUCUGGACCAAAUGCCUCACAACACCCCAGGAGUGGUUUUAUUGCAUGAUAGCAGUACCCCAUUGAGCCUUAUUGCUUAAUUAAAAACAAAUUCCCAAGUAAUUUUUUUGCCUUUUCAUAAAAACACAGUAGUACAUAGCAUGUAUAAAACAUCCAUUAAAUGAUGGUAGAUGCAAAUUUACAUUGUGAGAUACAAUCCGUUUCUUUACCACUUGGGGUUGAAGUUAAAUGUAAAACCAUUUCCUAUAAUCUGUGCACUGCUGUGUUUAGAGAGGAAUAAAUAUGGGAAAGAGAGGUUCAUUGUAGGAUGCCUUGUUUUUAUUAAGUGAUAUGUUUGGUCUCCUUACAAAAGAGUUCAAAUUCUUGUCCAUCUUGCAGACACAAUAGUCUAUCAACAGCGUGGCCUUUUCUGCUUCCUCCUGGAGAUUUCCUCAGCUUGCCGUCGUUGCAGUGCAAUAGGAAUCCUGUAUUUCUGUCUGGGAUUUCCAUUUCUCUCUGAGCAGAGAGAGCACGAACAGUGCAGGUGACAUAUUUGGAAUACAUCUAGCAUACUAUACACGUGCUGCCCGGGUGUCCUUUGUGGGUUUUGUAGUCUAAUGUGGAUUAAGCCUGGUAGGUGCAUGGUACAGCCACUUUUGGUGGUUUUGCCGCACAGUUGACCUCUGCCUGCACUGGAUGCAUGGUUGAGAGGUCUCUACCUCCUGCAAUUUGACUGGGACCACUGCUACAGCUGUGGCUGCUCUGCAAGGGACCUAGACUAUGGAUGGGAAGAGUAUGAAAGUCCUUUUUGUUCACGUUGAGGGUUUGUCCUGCCUCAGCAUCCCAACCCAGAGCUCCCUUACACCUUUACGGAGUGCUUUCAUAGCCCCAAAGUGAUUCCCAAACGUAGUGCUCCCCUGAGGACUUUGAGUAUUGUUCACAUGUUACAGGAAAAGGAAGCAAAUUCAAAUUUUUAAGUGAUUGUCCAAAAAUCGUACAGGGAAUGCUAGAGACACUGCUCAGAAUCCUGGCAACCAAAGCUAUAACUGGGCUUUCAGCUGCAGCACUGAAGUAAAUGG